Molecule: long non-coding RNA, 718 nt
Organism: Maniola jurtina (meadow brown)
Lineage: Eukaryota; Metazoa; Arthropoda; Insecta; Lepidoptera; Nymphalidae
Exons: 2
Source: RefSeq, a predicted model, not a curated record
UGAGAUCUGUAGAGCCUACUUUGACUUUGUUAAGACUUAAUCUAAGCAAAGCCAAAGUUCGCUCUGUAGAUGUCAGCCUUAGAUAAGCAUUUAAUAGAUACAAUUUUAUGAUAAGCUUUCGAUUUAGACAAUCAUUCAUAACCUUUGCGCCUUUUCAAAUCACAGGUAGUCAAAAAUUGAUUAAACAUUUAAAAUACUGAUGGUAAGUAAUAAUUUAUCUACUGUUUAGUUUUCUCUACCAAAAACUAAAAGUAUAUAAGAUAAUAAACACAUCGAAUUAUUAUUAUAGAAAUAAUUAAACUAACAUCUAUCCAUUUCGAAAUGAUCUUGGACACAAUAUCAAUACAUGCUUGUUUUGCCUGCACACCACUGAUUUGGUUAGAAUAUUAUUAAAAUAAUUAUUCUUCCAUUUUCCUAACCUAAUAGGUUAAAUAAAUAUUAUCGAAAUGCACAAUCGAAGAACUAACGAUUGUAGGAAAGGAUUUGUUAGGCACAUCAUGUCUUAACCCUAGCCAGUAGGUAAUGUGAUGCCUAGUUACCGUAACCUUAAAUUAAUUACAACUAUCUCACUCUCGCUUCAUACAAUAUUUCUUUGAUCAUUUGCUGUGCAUUUACGAAUCAGUCUUCUAUAUAAAUUAUAUUUGACGAUCAAUGUAGGAACAUUGUCAGAACCAGAAUGUCAAACCAGAAAGGUAGUUUUUGGUUUUGGGAGACAAAA